AUGGCCAUCUUUGACGAGUUCUACGUUGGGACCAUCGACCUCGGUCGCCUCAACUAUGGGAUCAUCUCGCACAUUCCCAAUGUGCCGGGGGCCUCCGACAUUCGCCAGUUCCGCCCGAUCACGGUGAUCAAUGUGAUCUUCCGGAUUCUGGCAAAGGGGUACGCCAAUAGGGUAACCCUGCUAGCAGACCUCAUUACCCACCCCAACCAGUCCGCCUUCGUGAAAGGGCGGUAUAUCCUGGAUGGGGUAUUAGUUCUCCAUGAGGUGCGGUUUAAACACCUCAAGGCGGUCUUCCUGAAAAUUGACUUUCACAAGGCCUACGACACUGUUAGUUGGUCCUUCCGUCGGGAAGUUUUG
This 357-nucleotide ribosomal RNA is filed under the name Triticum aestivum (bread wheat). RNAcentral describes it as "partial small subunit ribosomal RNA". Lineage: Eukaryota; Viridiplantae; Streptophyta; Magnoliopsida; Poales; Poaceae. The record is from RNAcentral.